AAGAUUUUAAGUUAAAAUAAAACUUUUAACCUUCAAAGUUUAAUAUAUAAAUUUUUUUUAUAAAUCUUA
RNAcentral lists this transfer RNA (69 nucleotides) under Acropyga sauteri. RNAcentral describes it as "tRNA-Trp". Lineage: Eukaryota; Metazoa; Arthropoda; Insecta; Hymenoptera; Formicidae. The record is from RNAcentral.